UGGGGAAUCUUGGACAAUGGGGGCAACCCUGAUCCAGCCAUGCCGCGUGGAUGAUGAAGGCCCUAGGGUUGUAAAAUCCUUUCGCCAGGGAUGAUAAUGACAGUACCUGGUAAAGAAGCCCCGGCUAACAUCGUGCCAGCAGCCGCGGUAAUACGAAGGGGGCUAGCGUUGUUCGGAAUUACUGGGCGUAAAGCGCGCGUAGGCGGACUCUUAAGCCAGAUGUGAAAUCCCGGGGCUCAACCCCGGAACUGCAUUUGGAACUGGGAGUCUAGAGUUCAGGAGAGGUUCGUGGAAUGCCGAGUGUAGAGGUGAAAUUCGUAGAUAUUCGGUGGAACACCAGUGGCGAAGGCGACGAACUGGACUGAUACUGACGCUGAGGUGCGAAAGUGUGGGGAGCAAACAGGAUUAGAUACCCGUGUAGUCC
This 424-nucleotide ribosomal RNA is filed under the name uncultured prokaryote. Its description in RNAcentral is "bacterial SSU rRNA". It matches the Rfam family "Bacterial small subunit ribosomal RNA", at positions 355 to 796 of the family's 1533-position model. The record is from RNAcentral.